AUUAAAAAUAUUUUACUGACCUAUAACUUUAAUUUCUCAGUAAUAAAGAUAAUAAUAAGAAAGACAACUUUCUUUUAAUCUUUAACUUUCACUUUUUCAUGAUAGGAUACGCCCAACGCGUCCUUAAAGUCUCAGCCAAAUGAAACUUGGGGCAACCUUGCCCUCGUCGUUGUGGUGCAACUGCACCUCGAUCUUCUGUCAGAUCAGAUCCUCCAAAAAUGGCGACACGAGUGGCAGCUGGUUUCGUGCGAUCCGCAACUAUAUUGAAAGUUAAGCCCGUUGAAUUUCAAAUACAGAGGACGAAAACGACCACUAGAAGUGGGCGGGUCCUCCCCAAACCGAAAAUGAGCUCCCUUACGCUUGUUGGGUCUUUCGUUGUCGCAAAUGCUGGAAUUUUGACUGGUGCCUCGUUCAGUAGGGCAUUCGCCAACUUUUUGGAGGAGCACGACUUGUUUGUGGUAGAAGAUGAUGAUGACGAUGACUAAUGCUUGGCAUCUGUCAUACUUUACGACUUAAAUUAUGAUUUACCACAUGCAUGUUGACCGACGGCAGAAAGGUUCUGUGUACUGUGAUCGGAGCCAGAUUUUAUUUAUGAAGACGUUGCCUCCUUCUGCCAGGCUGUGAAAUUGACUUUACUGUAAUUUUAAUUUUAUUUUAACUGUGUUACCACUGAUAAUUCGUGUUCUUAGUCCUUAGAUUUUAAUCCGCUUACUGUAUAAUUAUUGAGUUUCUGCUGAAUUUGCAUCAAUAAAAGUGUUAAAAAAAAUA
This is a long non-coding RNA of Frankliniella occidentalis (western flower thrips), 768 nucleotides long. RefSeq lists it as uncharacterized. Lineage: Eukaryota; Metazoa; Arthropoda; Insecta; Thysanoptera; Thripidae. The record is from RefSeq and is a predicted model, not a curated record. The transcript is spliced from 2 exons.